Equus caballus (horse) is the source of this 5547-nucleotide long non-coding RNA. NCBI's taxonomy places the organism in Eukaryota, Metazoa, Chordata, Mammalia, Perissodactyla, Equidae. The record is from Ensembl.
CUUAAAUGCACACACGCUGCUGAAGAUCUGGAGGAGGGGAAGUCCAGAUUUCUCCAUAUUGCAGGGAGGUGUGAGUGUGUGAUGUAUGGAGAGAGACAGCCAAACCCAAGUGAAUCAGCAGGAGGCUGGCUUAGCCCUCGUGUAACAUGAUGAAGUUACUGGCACUUUAAUUUCUGGAUCGUUGGCUUUUUGACCUUCAGAGCUAUGGCAAGGAUACUUAAUGCUUGCCUCAGUUUUUAUUAGCCUGGAAAUUCCAGUGAACUCGGCACACUUGACAGUGGUGGGUGUUUGUUGGUGUGUUGGAAAGAGCACGGAUGGACUUGGGAGUCACGUGGGCUCGGCUCUGCCACUUAUUUGCCUUCUUCACCCACCACUGACAAGCUGAGGCUUGGAAAAUGCUCCUUGAAUAAGCCAGAGUGUCACCAACACCAGCAGGGUCAGCUCCAGUCCCAGCCUCCCAUCAAGCUUCUUGGACCAAGGCCAGGUGCAGGCACACUUUAUCUGUAGGAUGGGGACAAAAAUACCACUUCAUUUGCGAAUGUGAGCUGAGAUGGCGAUUUGAGGCAGAGGUUGAACUAUGAAGAAAAUGCAAGACAUUAAUGAUGAUUAAAUAAUACACAAAGUAAUAAGAAAGAAAAUACGACAAAAAUUUUAUUCAUCUAACUUGGGGGCACCAUUUCUCCCUUUCUCCAUCAAGCAAUGAAAAAUAUUUACUUGACUCCAAAAGUGAAAAACAAGAAACAAAAGAAAAAGAAAAAGAAAAAAAGAAACAACAAAGAAAAGAAACUUUUUAACACUUGACAGGAAUCCAUAUUACAGUUUUCGGAGAGGAGCUGGAGCUGGCCUCACGGUGCAUGGAGCCUGGAGGGAGAAGCAGAUGCAUUCCUGUCAUCUAAAUCAGAGCAAUGGUGCACUUCUGUGAUUUGACCAGCCCAGAAGGGAAGGACAAAAAUGCUCUUGCCACAGGAGAUUUUGAAUUACACUUACCUUCCAGCCUGAAUCAGAAUCCCACUGGUCAAUUUUCUAUUCUCCGUUGUUCCUUUUCCCAAUGAACAAGAACAAGGCUGGUGCCACAUCAGCAUGUCAUUCACCAGCCAGACAUUUACAAUGAAAAAUCCGCUUUUCCAGAGUGUGAGGAUUCCCAGGGCAGGAGCCAAAGCCUCUCGAAUUCACACGGAGACAUCUCACGGUUACAGAGCUUCAAGACCUAACACGCCCCGCCCCCAUUUAGUUCGUGGAUUGGUUCCCUUGUCCUUGAGGAGAAUACGUUUUCUUGGAUCCACUUCUUGGAUACCGAGUUCAAGUCAAAACUGAUUUCCAUAGCCUCCUGUGGAGAGGGCCUCCGGUGGAGGGGCCAGUGUGCAGAAUGAUGAGGGGAUCUGCUCACCGGCUUUAGAGGCGAGAAUCUGGGAGUGAGGAGGUUACCUGGGCGCCUCGUCUCUGCUUUUCCAGAUAUUGUGCGCUUAAUGGGCAGCCUGCAGAACAGGGAUGUGCCCAGCCCUCUCUCUGCUGCCUUGAAAUCUUCAAAACAAGGUGAGGAACUUCCAGUUUAGACACCAAGUGUCCUCACCGUCAUUUUAAGUGGUUAUAGUUCUUGUCUGUGCAAAGUUAUUUGCCAUUCGUCUUUCUUCCCCAGAGUUGGAGGUCGGCUGCAGCAUCCUGGGAAACACGGCCUCCUUCAGGGUGCGGGGGAGGAAAGGGAGUGGCUGAGGAGCCAGACAUCUGGGUCUGGAUCGGGGCUUCACCGCUUUCUUGCUCUGUUUUGGAAGAAGGCAGAAGCAGCCCUGUGGAUUAAGACCCUAGCCCCAGAAGACGCAGAACCUUUGACCUCGAGCUGCCCUGUGGAAUCUGAGCCACCUCUGGAGAAACUCAGAAUGACUGAGCCUGUUAAUGGACUCCAUCCCUUUGUGGAGUAUCUGAAAUUGUGGUCAUUUAGAGCAUUAUUAUGGAAUUGUUUAUUGACCUGUAUAAACACAUACACCAUUUAUCACUAUAAAUGUAACAGGUGCCUCCCAGGCUGCCAGCUGGAGGUACUUUAGGGUCCCCAAAUAGGAACAGAGCAGUAUUUUUCAGGCUCGGCUCUCUUCAUAAAGAACUGCAGAAACCUCAGACUUCUUUAAAUUCCCCCUUUGGGUUCCAGGCAGGAGAGGUUUGGGGGAGGGACUCUGUGGCAUCUAGAAAAUUGCUGUCUUUCUCCACAUUCUACAUAGUUACCUGACUUUCCAUGGAAAAUGCUAAUGGUAGAGCAACCGCUCACGACACAUACUGCUCUUGUCUUUUUCAUCUCGAUGGAGGGGAGUUCUCAAUAUUUCACAGCAAUGGCCUCAUUCAUUCAUUCAACAAACACUUAAAUUGAAUGCCUAUUAUGUGCUAAGCAUUGCUCUAGGUUGUAGGAUUAUGGCUCCAAACAAAGCAGAUCCAGUCCCUCCUCUCAUGGUGCUUAUAAUCUAGUGAGAGAAAGAGAUGCUCUAUGAAAAAGUCAGUACAAGUCAGGUGAUGACAUGUGCUACAAAGGAGAGUAAGGCAAGAAAAGGGGUGUAGAGCAGCGGUGGAGUGAGUGCUAUUUAAUACAGAGAAGGUGAUAUUUGAGCAGAGAUUUGGAGGAAGCGAGGGAGUGAGCCAUGUGGAUAUCUGAAGAAAGAGCAUUCCAGGCAAAGAGAUAGCAAGUUCAAAGGAAUACAAGCAGGCUUGACAUAUUUAAGGAACAGCAAGAAGGCCAGUAGAGAUGGAAGGGAAUAACGGAGGGAGGGGAGAGUAGGAGCUAGUGUGGGCAGGUCACAUGGGACCUUAUAGGCCAUGUUGUUCCAUUGAGUUGUUCCUUUGAGUCUCACUCUGAGUGAGACAGGGAGCACUGAAGGGUUCUGAGCAGAUGAGGGAGAUGAUCUGACUUCUAGUUUAACAACAUCUGACGGCUGUGUGGAGAACAGACUGUAGCGGGUGAGGGGCGAGGGUAGAAGCAGUGCUAUCAGUUAGGAGGCCACUGCACUUGUCAAGGGGAGGGAUGGGGACGGCUUGUAAUAGGGUGAUAAUGGUGGCUGUGCUGAGCAAUGGUCAAAUUCUGGGUAUAUUUAGAAGGAAGGGUUAACAGAAUUUGUGACGGUUUGAAUAUGAGUGUGAGAGACAGAGAGGAUGACUAAAGAUUUUGGCUUUAGCAAUUGGUUAAAAUGGAAAAGCCAUUUACUGAGGUGGAGACAACUGAAGGAGGAUUAGGUUUGGGUGGUAAAACAAGUGUUCCAUUUUGACGUAUAAAAUGUUGAGUAAGUGGUUGGAAAUGUGGGGUUGGCAUAAGGGAAGAUUUGGGGUUGGAGAGAUACAUUUGGGAGCACAGCAUACAAAGAAUAUUUUAAGCCGGGUACUAAACGAAGUCAGAGGGAGUGCAGAUGAAGAAGAUGCGGUCUAAGGAUGGAGUCUGAAGCCCUUUGAUGCUUAGAGGUCAGAAGAGAGUGAGAAAGAGUGACCACUGAGGUCUUCUUGCAAAUAAAGUGAAGAAAGUAUUUAAGAAGGAAUGAUCAAUUGAGUCAAAUACUCCUGAGGGGUUAGGUUAGAUGAAGACUUAGAAAUGAAUACUGGUUUCGGCAAUGGAAGAUCAUUGGAGACCUUAAGCAAUCUUGACGGACUGUGGGAUUGAAAGCCAAACUGGGGGGGAAUUCAAGAAAGAAUCGAAGGAGAAGUAGAAAUGCAAGUACACACAAGCCUUUGUGGUAGUUUUGUUGUCAAAAGGGACAGAAAGACGUAGCUAGAGGUGGAGAUAUAGGGUCCAGGGAAGUUUUUAAAAAUAAAGUUGUGGGUGCAACAGAGUGUUUGUAUGAUAGUGGGAUGAUCCAGUAGAGCAGAAAAAAUUGAUGGAGCAGGAGGGAGAUGACAUAACUGUAGGAACUGUGUCACUGAGCAGAUGAGGGGGGCUGGGAUUCUGUGCAUAAGCGGAAGGCUAGGGCGUGGAUGACUUACUCAUUACCGCGCGAGAGAAGGCAGUAUAUGGGCACAGAUGCAGAUAAGAUGGCUGACUAAGUGACGGGAGUGUGCCCAAGUCCUCUUUUGACUCUUCUGUUAGUGAAGUGAGAAGCAAGCUCAGGGGCUAAGAAAGAGAAUGAGGAGUGCUGUUGGAAAUUUGAAGAGAGGUGAGAAGGAAUGAAAUAGUUGUCUGGAAGAGUGGCAAAGUCCAUUGACAAAGAAAACAUAGUGAAUUUGAGGCAGAGCCAAGGUCUUACUUGAGAAUUUGAAGCAAGACAUGUCAGUGUGGUUUACACUUUUUUCUGGCCAUGCUUAGUUACUAUGUGGAAUAGGCUAAACACUGGAGUUUUGUUGGAUGAUGGCAGAGGGAGACAGUGACCAAUCACUGAUGGACUCUUAAUGAAAAAUGAAUGGAGAAGAUACGUGUCACUGUUGGUAGUUGUUUGUCUACAUUAAGCCACAGAGCACACUCUGAAACUUGCGCAAAGUUAAUGGGACAGAAAUGUCAUUUCAUCCAAAGGCCCUCCCCUAUGACCCUGUGUAGUAUACCGCUGCCGCAGUCACGUGCCCCAAGCUUCUCUCCCAUCCAGACACAGGAGAGAUAAGCCCAGAAAGCAUGUGAUUAUAGGAUAGUCCUUGGUCCCCAGUGGCUGACGGGGCUGACAUAUCACCAUUCCCUACUCCUGACCCCCGGCAUCUAGUCAUUUUCUUUUUCCAGCCCAGCCAAGAAUUUGGUUCCUCAAGUAGCAGGAGCCCUUCAGUUGUGUCUGGAAUGUUCCUUGGCUGUAAAUGCACAGAAGGGGUCUCAAUGCUGGCACCUCUGUCAUCAAAUUGCCCCAUUAAUUUGUUGUCCUAGUGUGUGGAUCCUCUAGUUCCCAGGAAACUUGAGGAAUAAAUAAAGUGGACAUUUAUUUAUAUUGUUGAGGUAGAGAUCCACUCUUGCAUUUAUUUAGUGAUAGACUUAAGAAUGACGAGAAAGCCUUCCUUUCUUUUGAAAGCCCUCUGAAAAUGUUUGUUCCAAGUAAGACGUUCUGUUUAAGCGGCACUGAUAUCCCUGUUCUGUGAACUUAGAGUCACGGGUACAUCACUUGGAAAUGGCCCUCUGUCUUUCUGAGGCUUAAUAUGUAUCUUUCUCCCAAAUUAACUGAAAUUUUCCAUUAAACAAUGAUGAUCUUGCAAAAGUUUCCUCUCACACGUACCACGUCUUGACACACAGUGUCCAACAGGCGGUAAUACAAAAUUGGAAUCACAGAAACGGCCUUCUGUUAUUGUCCUGGGAUCAAAAGUCGAAAAUCAUAAAAGUGCCCCGCUGAUCCUUCCAACUGUCCUUAAACUUUUCUUCUAGUACUGUGUGCCCAAGGCAGCCAAACCCUUGUAUGCAUGUUUUUUUGUAUGACUUGGAAGUAUACAUUUUCUUACCAUAUCAGAUGUUUCUUGCGUUUGUGCUAUUCAAGAUUUCUUUCCUGAAACCCAGCCUGCUUUUAACUUGUGCCCUUUCCAAGUGUUAGAAAUGGGACUGAGGUGCAGCCUCUAUGGAGAACAGUAUGGUGGUUCCUCAAGAAAUUAAAAAUAGAGCAACCAUAUGGUCUAGCAACC